Molecule: ribosomal RNA, 484 nt
Filed under: uncultured Gammaproteobacteria bacterium
Lineage: Bacteria; Pseudomonadati; Pseudomonadota; Gammaproteobacteria
Description: bacterial SSU rRNA
Rfam family: Bacterial small subunit ribosomal RNA
Source: RNAcentral
UGGGGAAUAUUGGACAAUGGGCGCAACCCUGAUCCAGCAAUGCCGCGUGUGUGAAGAAGGCCUGCGGGUUGUAAAGCACUUUUAUUAAGGAAGAAAAACCCGGAUAUAAUACCUCCGGGAUUGACGGUACCUUAAGAAUAAGCACCCGCUAACUCAGUGCCAGCAGCCGCGGUAAUACUGAAGGUGCAAGCGUUAAUCCGAAUUACUGGGCGUAAAGCGAGUGUAAGGUGCUAUAAUUAUCGGAUGUGAAAGCCCUGGGCUUAACCUGGGAAUUGCAUUCUGAUACUGUUUACUAGAGUUUGAUAAAAGUAAGUGGAAUUCCCGGUGUAGCGGUGAAAUGGCUAAAUAUUAGGAGGAACACCCAUGGCCAAAGGCACUUUCUGGUCUUUUACUGACCCUUAAGGUGCAAAGCCUGGGGAGCAAACCGGAAUAAAUACCCUGGUAAUCCACCCUGUAAACCAAGGAUACUAAGUGUGGGGGACAU